This 1018-nucleotide long non-coding RNA is filed under the name Capra hircus (goat). RNAcentral describes it as "lncRNA (ENSCHIG00010010151.1)". The record is from RNAcentral. Lineage: Eukaryota; Metazoa; Chordata; Mammalia; Artiodactyla; Bovidae.
CAGCCUUGACGUACUCCUUUUCCUAUUUGGAACCAGUCUGUUGUUCAUUUAGACACCUAUUAAAAUUUUGACAAUGUAGUAUUCUUUUGUUCUUGCCAGUAGUUCUAACAAACUCAGUUUUGCUUAAUCAAAAGUUGUUUUCUUUGUAGUCAUUUGUCAGAUAAAUAGUCAAAAAUUGUGGAGAUAAAUGAGAACUCCCAGUGAAAGCCUUGUGCAACCUCUUUAAACUCCUCUGCUUGAAACCUGUUCCUCCAAGAUCACUGAAGUUUCCAUCUAGGAGUCUCUCUGACAGCAACAGUGAGGUAUGCACUGCAUUUGGUCUAAAUUUUAAGUUAUUUUUGGCAGAGUUUAUGCUUCCUAGGAAUGAGAAUUAAUUUUAGUAAUAAAUUUUUUGAAAAUUCUUAUUCUAGAUGAAAACACCUGCUCUAUUACUUACAACAUGACUGACUAUUUUCAUGGUUUCUAUUGUGAGUCAAUAAAGGGAGCAUUCAUGAGGCUGGAGUGCUUACUUAGAGUUAGGUUUUGUUGGAUUGAUUCUCUUUAGACUAACUUUACCUGAGCAUUUGUUCAAAAUCUUGUGAGGAUCUUCCCCAGUCUUAUCUUGGUUGAUUCCAGUUAGUCUCAUUUUGCUCAGAGUUAGGGAGUUUAAGUUCCUCACCUGGUCUUUAGCCAGGUUCUUAAAAUAGGAAGUUGCCCAAGAAAAAUAUUAAUGUGGGUUUGGUUUUUUUCAGUUUAUUUGGCCCUCUAGAUCAAAUUUCUGAUUGUUCUCUAUUUUAGCUCAUGUGCUUAUCUCUCUAGUUGGUGUAAUUCCAUCCAAUAUGUCUGCAACUGUAGAGUCCAUUUGGGGGAACUUAAUUGUUGUAUUGAUGCUUCAUGCAAUUCAUUAGAGUUCAAAUUAUUGUUUAAACCUGUUGAUUAUACUCUUGUGUGGCUCUCAAAGUGUGUGCUAAUGGGUUUCCUAUAUCUAAGACUUCUUUUCUCCUUCCAUAAUGAUGGUUUCACAUUUGUCCAAAGCUGA